GUGCCAGCAGCCGCGGUAAGACAGAGGGGGCAAGCGUUGUCCGGACUGACUGGGCGUAAAGCGCGCGCAGGCGGUCAGAGGCGUCGGUGCUCAAAGUCCACCGCUUAACGGUGGGAGGCGUGCCGAUACGCUCUGACUGGAGGGCGGGCGAGGGUGGUGGAAUUGCCGGUGUAGUGGUGAAAUGCGUAGAGAUCGGCAGGAACACCAGUGGCGAAGGCGGCCACCUAGCCCGCACCUGACGCUGAGGCGCGACAGCGUGGGGAGCGAACUGGAUUAGAAACCCUCGUAGUCC
Molecule: ribosomal RNA, 292 nt
Filed under: uncultured bacterium
Lineage: Bacteria
Description: partial 16S ribosomal RNA
Rfam family: Bacterial small subunit ribosomal RNA
Source: RNAcentral